Molecule: ribosomal RNA, 497 nt
Filed under: uncultured bacterium
Lineage: Bacteria
Description: partial 16S ribosomal RNA
Rfam family: Bacterial small subunit ribosomal RNA
Source: RNAcentral
GAUGAACGCUGGCGGCGUGCCUAAUACAUGCAAGUCGAGCGAACGGACGAGAAGCUUGCUUUUCUGAUGUUAGCGGCGGACGGGUGAGUAACACGUGGAUAACCUACCUAUAAGACUGGGAUAACUUCGGGAAACCGGAGCUAAUACCGGAUAAUAUUUUGAACCGCAUGGUUCAAAAGUGAAAGACGGUCUUGCUGUCACUUAUAGAUGGAUCCGCGCUGCAUUAGCUAGUUGGUAAGUUAACGGCUUACCAAGGCAACGAUGCAUAGCCGACCUGAGAGGGUGAUCGGCCACACUGGAACUGAGACACGGUCAAGACUCCUACGGGAGGCAGCAGUAGGGAAUCUUCCGCAAUGGGCGAAAGCCUGACGGAGCAACGCCGCGUGAGUGAUGAAGGUCUUCGGAUCGUAAAACUCUGUUAUUAGGGAAGAACAUAUGUGUAAGUAACUGUGCACAUCUUGACGGUACCUAAUCAGAAAGCAACGGCUAACUACGUG